This 173-nucleotide ribosomal RNA is filed under the name Prionobrama filigera (glass bloodfin tetra). RNAcentral's name for it is "partial 12S rRNA". Lineage: Eukaryota; Metazoa; Chordata; Actinopteri; Characiformes; Characidae. The record is from RNAcentral.
CACCGCGGUUAUACGAGCGACCCUAGUUGAUAGAUGCGGCGUAAAGAGUGGUUUGGGGUAAAAAUAAAUAAAGCCGAAUAACUUCCCGACUGUUAAAAGUGUUGUGAAACUACUAAGACCAAUAACGAAAGUAGCUUUAAUAUAAUUUUCCUGAUCCCACGAAAGCUAAGAGA